GAAAGUAAAGAAGGGCGCAUGGCGGAUGCCUUGGCUCUCGGAGGCGAUGAAGGACGUGAUAAGCUGCGAUAAGCUUUGGGGAGGUGCAAAUGACCUUUGAUCCAGAGAUUUCCGAAUGGGACAACCCAAUAUCUUGAAGAGGUAUUAUCUUACUAUGUAAGAGGCUAACGCAGGGAACUGAAACAUCUUAGUACCUGCAGGAAAAGAAAAUAAACAAUGAUUCCCCCAGUAGUGGCGAGCGAACGGGGAACAGCCCAAACCAUCCAUGUUACGGCAUGGGUGGGGUUGUAGGACUACGCCGUUGCAUGAAGACAUCAGAGAAGAACUUUCUGGAAAGAAAGACCAUAGAGCAUGACAGUUGCGUAUUCGAAUGUUGUCGAAGCAUAGUAGUAUCCUGAGUAGCGCGGAGCACGAGGAAUUCUGCGUGAAUCUGCCGGGACCAUCCGGUAAGGCUAAAUACUCCCGAGAGACCGAUAGCGAACCAGUACCGUGAGGGAAAGGUGAAAAGCACUUCGAACAGAAGAGUGAAAUAGUUCCUGAAACCGUGCGCCUACAAGCGGUCGGAGCUCGUUAAUGAGUGACGGCGUGCCUUUUGCAUAAUGAACCUACGAGUUGCCUUUGCCGGCAAGGUUAAGUGUGACGACACACGUAUCCGAAGCGAAAGCGAGUCUGAAGAGGGCGUAUAGUCGGCAGUGGCAGACGCGAAACCAAGUGAUCUACCCUUGGCCAGGUUGAAGGCUGGGUAACACCAGCUGGAGGACCGCACCAAUAAGCGUUGAAAAGCUUCUGGAUGAGCUGAGGGUAGGGGUGAAAGGCUAAUCAAACUUGGAGAUAGCUCGUACUCCCCGAAAUGCAUUUAGGUGCAGCCUUGCGGGUUACUGAUGUGAGGUAGAGCGACUGAUAAGAUGCGAGGGCUUCACCGCCUAUCAAGUCUUGACAAACUCCGAAUGCGCAUCAGUUCUACCGCAGGAGUGAGGGCAUGGGUGCUAAGGUCCGUGCCCGAGAGGAGAAGAAUCCGGACCACCUGCUAAGGUCCCGAAAUGACAGCUAAGUUAAACUAACGAAGUCUGACUGCUAAGACAGCUAGGAUGUUGGCUUGGAAGCAGCCAUUCAUUUAAAGAGUGCGUAACAGCUCACUAGUCGAGGAGUCGGGCGUGGAUAAUAAUCGGGUAUUAAGUUGUCUACCGAAGCAGUGGGAUCAUUAAUAUGAUCGGUAGGGGAGCAUUCCAGUCAGCGUCGAAGGCGUACCGUGAGGUAUUCUGGAGCGUCUGGAAAAGCAAAUGUAGGUAUAAGUAACGAUAAAGGGGGCGGGAAACCCCCUCGCCGAAAGACUAAGGUUUCCUGAUCAACGCUAAUCGGAUCAGGGUCAGUCGGGUCCUAAGGCUCAGCCGAACGGCGAUGCCGAUGGCAGAAACGGUUAAUAUUCCGUUACUACCUUCAGGAGUGACGUGGAGACGCAGUAGUGACAGUGCCGCCAUCUGACGGAAUAGAUGGUUGAAGGGUGUAGGAGUCGAUCAUGGCAGGCAAAUCCACCAUGAGAUCCGAACCUGAUAGUAUGCCGCGUCCUUCGGGACAAGGCAAUAGUGCGCGUAAGCAUGCUGCCGAGAAAAUCCGCUAAACUUAAUCCUGGAGGUACCCGUACCGCAAACGGACACACGUAGUCGGGAUGAAUAUUCUAAGGCGCUUGAGUGAUUCACGGUUAAGGAACUAGGCAAACUGACCCUGUAACUUCGGGAUAAAGGGUCCCUACCCUUUUAUGGGAGGGCGCAGAGAAUCGGUCCAGGCAACUGUUUAACAAAAACACAGGGCUGUGCCAAAUCGAAAGAUCCAGUAUACAGCCUGACACCUGCCCGGUGCUGGAAGGUUAAGAGGAGAUGUCAUCGAUAAGAGAAGCGUUGAAUUGAAGCCCCAGUAAACGGCGGCCGUAACUAUAACGGUCCUAAGGUAGCGAAAUUCCUUGUCGGGUAAGUUCCGACCUGCACGAAUGGUGUAAUGAUCUGGACGCUGUCUCAACCGUGAGCUCAGUGAAAUUGUAGUAUCGGUGAAGAUGCCGAUUACCCGCGAUGGGACGAAAAGACCCCGUGAACCUUUACUAUAGCUUAUCAUUGAAUCUGGGCACGUGAUGUGUAGGAUAGGUCGGAGGCUUUGAAGCAGGUACGCCAGUAUUUGUGGAGCCGCUGUUGAAAUACGACCCUUUAUUUGUUUGGAUUCUAACCCGUGGAUACGGGGACAUUGAUUGGUGGGUAGUUUGACUGGGGUGGUCGCCUCCAAAAGCGUAACGGAGGCUUCUAAAGGUGCCCUCCGGCCGAUUGGUAACCGGCCUUAGAGUGUAAUGGCAUAAGGGCGCUUGACUGGGAGACUAACAAGUCGAUCAGGUAGGAAACUAGAGCAUAGUGAUCCGGUGUUUCCGUAUGGAAGGGACAUCGCUCAAAGGAUAAAAGGUACUCCGGGGAUAACAGGCUGAUCCCUCCCAAGAGCUCAUAUCGACGGAGUGGUUUGGCACCUCGAUGUCGGCU
RNAcentral lists this ribosomal RNA (2516 nucleotides) under human gut metagenome. RNAcentral describes it as "bacterial LSU rRNA". It matches the Rfam family "Bacterial large subunit ribosomal RNA", at positions 1 to 2537 of the family's 2925-position model. The record is from RNAcentral.